GUUGUUUGUGCAAACAAAAAAGUGGUUCGAUGUUAUGUAAUGGAAAUAGGUGUAAAUGUAGAUGGACUGGUUACAUGACUGCACUGAUUCAUAAGGAGAAAAAAAAAAGAAGCAGAAAUAGGAAAAAAAAAACUCGAUUUUUUUCUUGCCACAAAAACAAAAGUUCCCAUCAAAGGUUGCCACCAGGUUUCAAUGAUGCCGAUAGUAAUCACUCUUGUAUCACGUAGCUUGUGUUUAGUGUAGUUUUACUCAUUUUUUCAAUGCUUUUUAAGCAUGUGUUUUUUUACUCUUCUUUUGUCUCUAGAUGAAACAGAUCCUUACUUUUACCACCAUCCCCCACCACCCCACUGACAGUUGGCCACACCCCACCGUGGAUAACUCAAAGUUCUGCUAAACCUCAUCACCCACAUUCUUCCUGACGCUUUACACACACAGCCAGCCAGCACCCGAGAGUGGAAAAUGGAAGGAAAAGCGACCAUGCCUCAUGGUGUAGUCCAAGCACCUACAUACCUGGCUUGGUCCAUCUUUAACACACUAUGCUGCUGUCUGCCUAUUGGAAUCAUUGCAAUUGUGUUCUCCUGCAGGACUGACACGGCCAACACUAUUGGUGAUUCUCCAAGAGCUAAUGCUCACUCCAGAAUGGCCAAAAAGCUGAAUAUCGCCGCACUGGUCAUUGGAAUCAUUUUCGUCGUCAUAUACAUCAUACUUUAUGUGAUUGCACAGCGACAACAUUAAUGAAUACAUGUUAAAAGGCACUAAAGCCAAUUCAUACAAAGUUAUGGUUACAGAAACUCUGGAAAUGUUAUCCAGCAGUCUUACAUCUUACUUGUGCUUUUUUACCUACUUCUAUUAUCCAUAAUAAAAAUUGAUUGUAUCUUUCAAAGCUUCUAAUCAUUUCUUGACCAAAGACUCAGCAUUGUAUUGCAGUUAUGUUUUUAUACAAAAUCUUUGGCAUAUCAUUUAAUAAUAAUGUAUCCUAGUUUUAAAUAUAUAUAUAUGAUAAAUGCAUGAGAUGUUUCUUUAUAUAUCUGUCAACAUUUGUUUUACACUAAGGACUAAUUCUCUUAUGAACACUGUGUCUUAAACAGACUCUGUAGUCAAUUUUAUAUUUUUUUAUAAUACAUUUUAUACCUUUUUUUCCUACUUUUUAAAAAAAUAUGAAUAAAAAAGGAUAACACUA
Long non-coding RNA from Tachysurus fulvidraco (yellow catfish), 1180 nucleotides. RefSeq lists it as uncharacterized. NCBI's taxonomy places the organism in Eukaryota, Metazoa, Chordata, Actinopteri, Siluriformes, Bagridae. The record is from RefSeq and is a predicted model, not a curated record. The transcript is spliced from 2 exons.